Molecule: ribosomal RNA, 324 nt
Filed under: uncultured Butyrivibrio sp.
Lineage: Bacteria; Bacillati; Bacillota; Clostridia; Lachnospirales; Lachnospiraceae
Description: bacterial SSU rRNA
Rfam family: Bacterial small subunit ribosomal RNA
Source: RNAcentral
GAUGAACGCUGGCGGCGUGCCUAACACAUGCAAGUCGAGCGGAGUGCGGUUUUUAAUCUUCGGAAGCGGAACCACACUUAGCGGCGGAUGGGUGAGGAACGCGUGGAGAACCUGCCCUUCACAGGGGGAUAACAGCUGGAAACGGCUGUUAAUACCGCAUAUGCUCACGGUGCCGCAUGGCACAGGGAGGAAAGCUCCGGCGGUGAAGGAUGGCUCCGCGUCGGAUUAACUUGUUGGCGGGGUAACGGCCCACCAAGGUGAUGAUCCGUAGCCGGCCUGAGAGGGCGACCGGCCACAUUGGGACUGAGACACGGCCCAAACUCC